This 482-nucleotide ribosomal RNA is filed under the name uncultured bacterium. RNAcentral describes it as "partial 16S ribosomal RNA". It matches the Rfam family "Bacterial small subunit ribosomal RNA", at positions 30 to 507 of the family's 1533-position model. The record is from RNAcentral.
AUUGAACGCUGGCGGCAUGCCUUACACAUGCAAGUCGAACGGUAACAGGUCUUCGGAUGCUGACGAGUGGCGAACGGGUGAGUAAUACAUCGGAACGUGCCCGAUCGUGGGGGAUAACGAGGCGAAAGCUUUGCUAAUACCGCAUACGAUCUACGGAGGAAAGCGGGGGAUCUUCGGACCUCGCGCGGCCGGUGCGGCCGAUGGCAGAGUAGGUAGUUGGUGGGAUAAAAGCUUACCAAGCCGACGAUCUGUAGCUGGUCUGAGAGGAUGAUCAGCCACACUGGGACUGAGACACGGCCCAGACUCCUACGGGAGGCAGCAGUGGGGAAUUUUGGACAAUGGGCGAAAGCCUGAUCCAGCCAUGCCGCGUGCAGGAUGAAGGCUUUCGGGUUGUAAACUGCUUUUGUACGGAACGAAAAGCCUCUUUCUAAUAAAGAGGGGUCAUGACGGUACCGUAAGAAUAAGCACCGGCUAACUACGUG